RNAcentral lists this ribosomal RNA (444 nucleotides) under uncultured bacterium. Its description in RNAcentral is "bacterial SSU rRNA". It matches the Rfam family "Bacterial small subunit ribosomal RNA", at positions 355 to 796 of the family's 1533-position model. The record is from RNAcentral.
UAAGGAAUAUUGGUCAAUGGACGCAAGUCUGAACCAGCCAUGCCGCGUGGAGGAUGAAGGUCCUCUGGAUUGUAAACUUCUUUUAUCUGGGAAGAAAUCCACAAAUUCUUUUGUGGUUGACGGUACCAGAUGAAUAAGCACCGGCUAACUCCGUGCCAGCAGCCGCGGUAAUACGGAGGGUGCAAGCGUUAUCCGGAUUCACUGGGUUUAAAGGGUGCGUAGGUGGGUUGGUAAGUCAGUGGUGAAAUCUCCAGGCUUAACUUGGAAACUGCCAUUGAUACUAUCAAUCUUGAAUACCGUGGAGGUCAGCGGAAUAUGUCAUGUAGCGGUGAAAUGCUUAGAUAUGACAUAGAACACCAAUUGCGAAGGCAGCUGGCUACACGAAUAUUGACACUGAUGCACGAAAGCGUGGGGAUCAAACAGGAUUAGAUACCCCCGUAGUCC